UACGGGGGGGGGCUAGCGUUGCUCGGAAUCACUGGGCGUAAAGCGCACGUAGGCGGAUUGUUAAGUCAGGGGUGAAAUCCCGGAGCUCAACCCUGGAACUGCCUUUGAUACUGUCGAUCUGGAGUAUGGAAGAGGUGAGUGGAAUUCCGAGUGUAGAGGUGAAAUUCGUAGAUAUUCGGAGGAACACCAGUGGCGAAGGCGGCUCACUGGUCCAUUACUGACGCUGAGGUGCGAAAGCGUGGGGAGCAAACAGG
This 254-nucleotide ribosomal RNA is filed under the name uncultured bacterium. RNAcentral describes it as "partial 16S ribosomal RNA". It matches the Rfam family "Bacterial small subunit ribosomal RNA", at positions 524 to 776 of the family's 1533-position model. The record is from RNAcentral.